GAUGAACGCUGGCGGCGUGCCUAAUACAUGCAAGUCGAGCGAACAGACGAGGAGCUUGCUCCUCUGACGUUAGCCGCGCACGGGUGUGUAACAUGUGUAUCACCUCCCUAUCUGACUGGGAUCACUUCGAGACACCGGCGCUUAUCCCGGAUAAUCUAUUGAUCCGCAUGGUUCAAUAGUGAAAGUCGGUUUUUCUGUCUCUUCUCGCUGGAUCCGCGCCUCUUUAGCUGGUUGGGAAGGGAACGGGUUAACAAGGCAGCGAGGCGUAACCGACCUGAGAGGCUGAUCGGCCACCCGGGAGCGGGGACGCGGUCCAGGCGCCUACGGGAGGCAGCAGUAGGGAAUCUUCCGCAGUGGGCGAAAGCCUGACGGAGCAACGCGGCGUGAGUGAUGAAGAUCUUCGGAGCGUAAAACUCGGUUAUUAGGGAAGAACAAAUGUGUAAGUAACUAUGCACGUCUUGACGGUACCUAAUCAGAAAGCCACGGCUAACUACGUG
Molecule: ribosomal RNA, 497 nt
Filed under: uncultured bacterium
Lineage: Bacteria
Description: partial 16S ribosomal RNA
Rfam family: Bacterial small subunit ribosomal RNA
Source: RNAcentral